CAGCAGCAGCAGCAGCAGCAGCAGCAGCAGCAGCAGCUCUUAGUGAAUGCUUAAUGCAAAGAAAAUGGGAAACCCACACAGCCUGCCUCCCAUGUGCAAGAGUAGUCAAGAGAAGAAGCCUCAACUUCUGCAAAGGCUCACUCACGCUCAGCCUCUGCAGAUCAGAAACUCUCAGAGGACCCGAGGGCCCGCUCUGAUCUCCUACUUAGAAAAUUUUGUUUGUGAUUAAUGUGCGCGAAGAGUACUGACUACUGGGAUUCAUUGUCAUAUUUUGGUACAUGUGGACCACAUGUUCUAAUCAAACCCAGCCUCCUUUCCCAGCAUCUAGAAAUCACCAAUCUGCAUUAAAGUUCUGAUCUUUUCCUUCCUCCC
This is a non-coding RNA of Peromyscus maniculatus bairdii (prairie deer mouse), 372 nucleotides long. NCBI's taxonomy places the organism in Eukaryota, Metazoa, Chordata, Mammalia, Rodentia, Cricetidae. The record is from RefSeq and is a predicted model, not a curated record.